UACGGGGGGGGCAAGCGUUGUUCGGAAUUACUGGGCGUAAAGGGCUUGUAGGUGGCCAACUAAGUCAGACGUGAAAUCCCUCGGCUUAACCGGGGAACUGCGUCUGAUACUGGAUGGCUUGAGUUUGGGAGAGGGAUGCGGAAUUCCAGGUGUAGCGGUGAAAUGCGUAGAUAUCUGGAGGAACACCGGUGGCGAAGGCGGCGACCUGGGUCGAGACUGACGCUGAGGCGCGAAAGCGUGGGGAGCAAACAGG
RNAcentral lists this ribosomal RNA (253 nucleotides) under uncultured bacterium. RNAcentral describes it as "partial 16S ribosomal RNA". It matches the Rfam family "Bacterial small subunit ribosomal RNA", at positions 524 to 776 of the family's 1533-position model. The record is from RNAcentral.